CCUACGGGAGGCAGCAGUGAGGAAUAUUGGUCAAUGGACGCAAGUCUGAACCAGCCAUGCCGCGUGCAGGAAGACGGCUCUAUGAGUUGUAAACUGCUUUUGUACGAGGGUAAAUCCCGAUACGUGUAUCUGGUUGAAAGUAUCGUACGAAUAAGGAUCGGCUAACUCCGUGCCAGCAGCCGCGGUAAUACGGAGGAUUCAAGCGUUAUCAGGAUUUAUUGGGUUUAAAGGGUGCGUAGGCGGUUCGAUAAGUUAGAGGUGAAAUCCCGGGGCUCAACUCCGGCACUGCCUCUGAUACUGUCGGGCUAGAGUUUAGUUGCGGUAGGCGGAAUGUAUGGUGUAACGGUGAAAUGCAUAGAGAUCAUACAGAACACCGAUUGCGAAGGCAGCUUACCAAACUACGACUGACGUUGAGGCACGAAAGCGUGGGGAGCAAACAGGAUUAGAUACCCGGGUAGUC
RNAcentral lists this ribosomal RNA (460 nucleotides) under uncultured bacterium. Its description in RNAcentral is "partial 16S ribosomal RNA". It matches the Rfam family "Bacterial small subunit ribosomal RNA", at positions 338 to 795 of the family's 1533-position model. The record is from RNAcentral.